GCUCUAUUUACCCUUAUUGUCGGUUUCACUUGCCUAGCCUAGGUAUGCUGAGAUAAUCAUUAUGUGAGGUGAUCUAUCCAUUUUCAGAGUUCCCUCAUUAGUAUCCCUCAUUGUUAAUUGCUAUGCUUAAUUGGAUACUCUGUGUUGUGUUGUUUGCCUUAUUUUGACCCAAAUAAACCACCCCAUUACCAUAUUUUACACUAAUGCCAUAUUUAAUCAUUGACAUAACUUUGGAGGUUUAGUUCAAUUAAAAAGAUGAUGCCAUGUGACUGGAAAGUAUAUAUGUUCAGAUUAUAAUUUAAAUGGAUACGGUGAUUGGCAAUAGAUAAAUCAUAUUAGCCUUGCAUUGCAGAUUAUUUCCUUUUUGUGGUUGGCAUGAAUGGCUUUUGUACUCAAUGGUUUAAGCAGUUGCUCUUUGAAAUAUAAUUUUUCUAUGUAAGAUCUUACCGGCUGUUCUAUUAUUUAAAAUCAUUUGCCAUGUUUGUACUCUUGCUGAAGUUUGAAGAGUUUCCCGGGGGUGGCGAGGAGUACCGGCAUAUCGAGUCCCUGGUGUUUUCCUCUACGAGCUGGGGAGGGCGUGUGGUUCUCUCCUCGUCGGUUUCACUUCUCCCCUUCCUCCUCCAUGGUGCUCAAAAAUAUCACUGACUGCGUGAAUUUAAAAAAUUUGUAGUCUUAUACAAAUAGAAAGAAUAUAUGAUCUAACCUUAUUUCUUAAUCCAACGGUAUCCUACUGCAUUAGUGUACGAGCUGUUACACACAAACAUGGCUUGAAGUUUUCGGAUAAAUGGGACAAACAUAGGGUUGCAGAUUGUAAAUCCAAGUUUUUUUCGCAAAUCAAUUUGACACUAAUCCUUAGAAAAAAGAUAUUUCUGUUGCAUAGAUUGCGUUGUAUAGGUUGUUGACUUGAUUUACAUCACUCCAGUUUUACGAUGGCACAAAAAUUAAUUUAAUUCUGUUAAUUGCAACUGCAACUCUUUCUCAUCACACACAAUGUUAACCUUAUAGAGCUAAGGUGGUUAUAGUUAGAAACCUCUACAAUAUCAUGGAUUGAUUUAGGGUUUCAAAAUAUUGUGAACUGUAAAACGUCUUAUAUUAUAGGACAGUGGUAGUAGUUAACAUGAUUGUUUCAGAUUCUGCCAUGGAAGCAUUUUACCCCUUUUGCAACUUUCGUUACACUAAAUUAGUACUGAAUUGUAAUAUUUCUUCUCUGGGUAUUUUACGUUACAGGAUUGGAACGAAAAGAAGAAACUACAGCGUCACAUAACUGCAGCAAAGAAGGUACUGCAUGAGAUGUAACAGGGUCGUAUUAUGGAAGGUUAGCUCUGAAUUAAUGUUCAUCAUAUGUGCUCUGUACUAAUGAUUGUCCUCAGGGAUUAUUCCAUUCAUAUUGCUCUGAAUUAAUCGUACUCUCAUGCUGCCUCAUUACCUUAUUAUGUUACAACUUUGCUGAAAAAGCCAUUGUUGGUAUCUGGAGUACAAACUGUAGAAUUAGGAUCCUCUGACAUCUAUUUACUACUCUGAAUUUAUUAUUAUUCAAUGACCAUAUAAAUACACAUUUCCAAAUAAUAUAUAUUAGUUUGUCUAUUCAAUGGUGUCAUUUUCCAUUUUUAUAGGCAUUCAGACCUCCCUGUUAUUUUUGUUCUAAGGAUGCACUUCAGUAUUAUGUAACUAUGCUGAUUUUACUGUCAGCAUAAAUAAUAGACGAGUUAAUAUUUCUGCUACAUAACUUUACACCGUAACAAAUCUGGAGACUUCUAACUGGAAGACACAAUUUUCAUUUUUGAAGCGAAGAACAGAAUCCCUGCUGUUCCACGGAGUGAGUACAGUUAAGGUAAAAAAAGGAAAAAGGAAGUCUGGAGCUCUCUCGGCUGUACAACAGAGGGGUUACUUCACGUACUCAUCAGCAGUGAGGCUAAUAUCAUCUCCAAUCAAGUGAAAAAGCAAGGGCGCAGCCUUAGUUUUCUGUUGGAAGACUUCUAUUUCUCUCAUUCCAGAGGUGCUAGCCUGUGCAAGCAGUGACAGUGUACUUUUUAUUGAUCUGAAUCUUCAGGCUUCAUUUUGAAAUUUUGGUCCACGAACGCUUGAUCGCAAAAGUAACAGGUAUCAUGGUGAGGCCAGUUUCUGUUUUGCAUGUUGCCUUAUUUCUCUUCUAUCUGCAGUUUGCUUCCACGUUCUAUAUGUUUGCGAGGAAAUUUCAAAUCGUUUUGUAUGCUCAUCAAUUGGUGCAUCUAGAAUAUGUAUGUGAACCGUGUACCUUACGGAUUCCUUAAGGGCCUCAUGAUUGUUGGUGUUUUUUUCCAUAUGAAAACACCAAGGUUAUUAUCCUAACUAUCAUAGUUUGUACCAGCAGGAUUAUCAUAACAAUUAUGCAAUUAUUUUCCAGGUGAUUACAUAGUUAAAGGUAGUGACUUUUUUAGUCCUAUGUGAUUUCUUAUCAACUGAGCUAUCAAAUUGUGCAUUAUGUACUUGGUCACAACGUUGUAACCGGCACCCUCGCGCGUUUCCGAUCUCAUUGGAUACUUUUGUACUUUAGUUAGAAGCAUAAUUGUCAGAAGCAAGCAUAAUGGCCAUAUGAUGAAGCCGAUAAGUGUUUAGUAGAGACUCCAAUCAAUUCGAUCUCUCCAUGAUCUUUACCGCAUAUGAUAUUUUCCUUCUGGGUAUUUAACUUUGUCAAGUGCAUGCUAUGGUUCAGAGCAAAAUUCAGUUUCCAGUUAUAAUUCAGUGAUUUUCUUACCUUGUAUUUUAUUUUGCAUAAUUGUAGAAAUUGCGGUGGCCAUCCGCGGAUCUACAGUCCCUGGUUUGCUUUGUCGAGGUAUGAUCUUUCAUAAUGUGUUGUAUCUUGCAAUAUUAUUUGAUUUGUUCUUGCCAUCAUUUUUUAGUCUCUUGCAAUAUUAUUUGAUUUAUUUCUCUCAUAAACAGAGCACAAGUUGCCCCUUCUAAUUGAUCUAUCUUGUAUCUAUAUGGUGCAGUGGUGUGUUAGAAUAUGUACAGUCCCAUGUUUUGGUUUCUGCAUUACUUUGUUGUUCUCUAAGCUGUACAAAUAGUGAGACCAAAUUAUGUUCAGUAUAUUCCUUACAUGGUAGAUCCACGGAUGUCCACCCCAAUUUCUACAAUUUUUUAAUACAACAAACUACCAUUUUUUAAUCAUACACUACCUCCUCUGACAGAGAUGGUCGUCGUCCCAUCUUUGUGGUUUAGGAAUAUGCUCUUUUAUUUUGCAAGCAGAAAAUUGAUUAAGGUUUGUGUGAUCAAGUUUAUGUGUUGCCUGCUAUGCAGUGUCCUGGGCAAGAGGACCAAGUGUGGGCGGGUAGGUAUCGGCAAGGCGGGCUGUCAGCAUGGUGUUGGAGUUGGUCGGUAGUGGUGCACCUACGCCACGUAUGGAUCAAUACUCUAGGAGGUUCCAUUGAGGCCCAGUCUAUCCAGGUAGUUUGUUAUACUACUGACUUAGAUACACUUUAUUUAUCAAGAAUUUUUGUAUAUCAUAAUAUCAAAGGCAAAAGGGUCUGUCUAUGGAUGCACUUCUUAUGGUCAUGUACAUUUCAGAGCCACUAUUAUUCAUCAAGAACAUAAUUUAACUAAAGCUCGUUAAAAAAAUUGCCCAUAGAAAUAAUCACUUUGGAUUGGUAGUGUCAAAAGGAUGCAGAACAUUUGUAACAUUUCUUCCCAUAUUCAUGAGACUUUCACUCUGCUGUUGCAUUAGUCAAGUUUAAUUUCAUUACAUAUGUGUGCAUGUAUCAGUUUUCAUAUUUAAAAUGAUAUAUUUAAGAAUUAUCAGAAAUUUUGCCAAAUUUGCUGGGCACAAAACAGAGAUCUGGAAGCAGGACAAACGUCACUGAUAUUUUGUUGGUCAUUUUUGGUGUCGCAUCUCAAAUGGAAUGGCACUCAUGGAGGCAAUUGAACCAAGCUAUGGCAUCGUAGUUUUAUCUCUCUAUUGCCACUGUUGGCUUUUGCUCUCUUGUGUUCCUGCUCAUAUUAUUGAACUUAAUGUUAGCUAAUUAGCUUUUGUAAUUAUACGACCGUG
Molecule: long non-coding RNA, 4021 nt
Filed under: Triticum aestivum (bread wheat)
Lineage: Eukaryota; Viridiplantae; Streptophyta; Magnoliopsida; Poales; Poaceae
Description: long non-coding RNA (TAES_LNC023661)
Source: RNAcentral